RNAcentral lists this ribosomal RNA (465 nucleotides) under uncultured bacterium. RNAcentral describes it as "partial 16S ribosomal RNA". It matches the Rfam family "Bacterial small subunit ribosomal RNA", at positions 28 to 506 of the family's 1533-position model. The record is from RNAcentral.
GACGAACGCUGGCGGCGUGCCUAACACAUGCAAGUCGAACGAGCGAGUGCGAGCUUGCUUUCUCGAGCGAGUGGCGAGCGGGUGAGUAACGCGUGAGGAACCUGCCUCAAAGAGGGGGACAACAGAUGGAAGCGACUGCUAAUACCGCCUAAGUACUCGGCUCGGCAUCGAGGUGGGGGAUAAGGAGUAAUCUGCUUUGAGAUGGCCUCGUGUCCGAUUAGCUAGUUGGUGAGGUAACGGCCCACCGAGGCGGCGAGCGGUAACCGGAAUGGGGGGUUGACCCGCCACACUGCGAGUGGGACACGGCCCGAACUCCUACGGGAGGCAGCAGGGGGGAAUAUUGCACACUGGGGGAAAGCCUGAGGCAUCGGCGCCGCGUGGAUGAGGAAGGUGUGCGGAUUGUAAGCGCCUUUUCUUGGGGAAGAUAAUACCGGUCCCAAACAAGGAAGUAACGGCAACCUCCGU